UACGGCUCAGUAACACGUGGUUAAUCUGCCCUUAGGGCGAGAACAACCCCGGGAAACUGGGGCUAACUCUCGAUAGGCGAAGAACUCUGGAAUGAGUCUUUACCUAAAUAGUGCAACGUUAUCCUCGUUGCAUCGCCUAAGGAUGAGGCCGCGACCGAUCAGGUUGUUGGCGAGGUAAUGGCUCACCAAGCCUUUUACCGGUGCGGGCCGUGAGAGCGGGAGCCCGGAGAUGGGCACUGAGACAAGGGCCCAGGCCCUACGGGGCGCAGCAGUCGCGAAAACUUUGCAAUAAGCGAAAGCUUGACAGGGCUAUCCCGAGUGCCAUCCGCCGAGGAAGGCUUUUACCCAGUCUAGAACGCUGGGGGAAUAAGGAGAGGGCAAGUCUGGUGUCAGCCGCCGCGGUAAUACCAGCUCUCCGAGUGGUGUGGAUGUUUAUUGGGCCUAAAGCAUCCGUAGCUGGCUAGGUCAGUCCCUUGUUAAAUCCACCGAAUUAAUCGUUGGAUUGCGGGGGAUACUGCUUGGCUAGGGGACGAGAGAGGCAGACGGUAUUUUCGGGGUAGGGGUGAAAUCCUAUAAUCCCGGGAAGACCACCAGUGGCGAAGGCUGUCUGCUAGAACGCGCCCGACGGUGAGGGAUGAAAGCUGGGGGAGCGAACCGGAUUAGAUACCCGGGUAGUCCCAGCUGUAAACGAUGCAGACUAGGUGUUUGGACGGCCACGUGCCGUUCUAGUGCCGCAGGGAAAGCUGUUAAGUCUGCCGCCUGGGGAGUACGAUCGCAAGAUUGAAACUUAAAGGGAAUUGGCGGGGGAGCACCACAAGGGGUGAAGCUUGCGGUUUAAUUGGAGUCAACGCCGGAAAUCUCACCGGGAGCGACAGCAGUAUGAAGCCAGAUUAAAGGUCUUGCAGACGAGCUGAGAGAGUGCAUGUGGUCGCCAGGUCGUGCCGUGAGUGUCCUGUUAGUCAAGCAACGAUCGAGACCCGCGUCCCUCUGUUUGCAACCAGCU
This 1003-nucleotide ribosomal RNA is filed under the name uncultured archaeon. Its description in RNAcentral is "bacterial SSU rRNA". It matches the Rfam family "Archaeal small subunit ribosomal RNA", at positions 84 to 1075 of the family's 1478-position model. The record is from RNAcentral.